CCUACGGGAGGCAGCAGUCGAGAAUAAUUCACAAUGGGGGAAACCCUGAUGGUGCGACGCCGCGUGGGGGAAUGAAGGUCUUCGGAUUGUAAACCCCUGUCAUGUGGGCGCAAAUUAAAAAGAUAGUACCACAAGAGGCAGAGACGGCUAACUCUGUGCCAGCCGCCGCGGUAAUACAGGGGUCUCAAGCGUUGUUCGGAAUCACUGGGCGGAAAGCGUGCGUAGGCUGUUUCGUAAGUCGUGUGUGAAAGGCGCGGGCUCAACCCGCGGACGGCACAUGAUACUGCGAGACUAGAGUAAUGGAGGGGGAACGGGAAUUCGCGGUGUAGCGGGGAAAUGGGUAG
This 344-nucleotide ribosomal RNA is filed under the name uncultured bacterium. RNAcentral's name for it is "partial 16S ribosomal RNA". It matches the Rfam family "Bacterial small subunit ribosomal RNA", at positions 338 to 693 of the family's 1533-position model. The record is from RNAcentral.